CGCCAGACUCCUACGGGAGGCAGCAGUGGGGAAUAUUGCACAAUGGGGGAAACCCUGAUGCAGCGACGCCGCGUGAGUGAAGAAGUAUUUCGGUAUGUAAAGCUCUAUCAGCAGGGAAGAAAAUGACGGUACCUGACUAAGAAGCCCCGGCUAACUACGUGCCAGCAGCCGCGGUAAUACGUAGGGGGCAAGCGUUAUCCGGAUUUACUGGGUGUAAAGGGAGCGUAGACGGCAUGGCAAGUCAGAUGUGAAAGCCCGGGGCUCAACCCCGGGACUGCAUUUGAAACUGUCAGGCUGGAGUGCAGGAGAGGUAAGUGGAAUUCCUAGUGUAGCGGUGAAAUGCGUAGAUAUUAGGAGGAACACCAGUGGCGAAGGCGGCUUACUGGACUGUAACUGACGUUGAGGCUCGAAAGCGUGGGGAGCAAACAGGAUUAGAUACCCUCGUAUC
RNAcentral lists this ribosomal RNA (448 nucleotides) under uncultured bacterium. RNAcentral describes it as "bacterial SSU rRNA". It matches the Rfam family "Bacterial small subunit ribosomal RNA", at positions 329 to 794 of the family's 1533-position model. The record is from RNAcentral.